AAGGUGGCCUGUGAGGGUUGCUGGAGGUAUCAGAAGUGCGAAUGCUGACAUAAGUAACGAUAAAGCGGGUGAAAAGCCCGCUCGCCGGAAGACCAAGGGUUCCUGUCCAACGUUAAUCGGGGCAGGGUGAGUCGACCCCUAAGGCGAGGCCGAAAGGCGUAGUCGAUGGGAAACGGGUUAAUAUUCCCGUACUUGGUGUUACUGCGAAGGGGGGACGGAGAAGGCUAUGUUGGCCGGGCGACGGUUGUCCCGGUUUAAGCGUGUAGGUGUGUGUUCCAGGUAAAUCCGGUUCACUUUAACACUGAGGCGUGACGACGAGGCACUACGGUGCUGAAGCAACAAAUGCCCUGCUUCCAGGAAAAGCCUCUAAGCAUCAGGUAACAUCAAAUCGUACCCCAAACCGACACAGGUGGUCAGGUAGAGAAUACCAAGGCGCUUGAGAGAACUCGGGUGAAGGAACUAGGCAAAAUGGUGCCGUAACUUCGGGAGAAGGCACGCUGACACGUAGGUGAAGUGAUUUACUCAUGGAGCUGAAGUCAGUCGAAGAUACCAGCUGGCUGCAACUGUUUAUUAAAAACACAGCACUGUGCAAACACGAAAGUGGACGUAUACGGUGUGACGCCUGCCCGGUGCCGGAAGGUUAAUUGAUGGGGUCAGCGCAAGCGAAGCUCCUGAUCGAAGCCCCGGUAAACGGCGGCCGUAACUAUAACGGUCCUAAGGUAGCGAAAUUCCUUGUCGGGUAAGUUCCGACCUGCACGAAUGGCGUAAUGAUGGCCAGGCUGUCUCCACCCGAGACUCAGUGAAAUUGAACUCGCUGUGAAGAUGCAGUGUACCCGCGGCAAGACGGAAAGACCCCGUGAACCUUUACUAUAGCUUGACACUGAACAUUGAGCCUUGAUGUGUAGGAUAGGUGGGAGGCUUUGAAGUGUGGACGCCAGUCUGCAUGGAGCCGACCUUGAAAUACCACCCUUUAAUGUUUGAUGUUCUAACGUGGACCCGUAAUCCGGGUUGCGGACAGUGUCUGGUGGGUAGUUUGACUGGGGCGGUCUCCUCCUAAAGAGUAACGGAGGAGCACGAAGGUUGGCUAAUCCUGGUCGGACAUCAGGAGGUUAGUGCAAUGGCAUAAGCCAGCUUGACUGCGAGCGUGACGGCGCGAGCAGGUGCGAAAGCAGGUCAUAGUGAUCCGGUGGUUCUGAAUGGAAGGGCCAUCGCUCAACGGAUAAAAGGUACUCCGGGGAUAACAGGCUGAUACCGCCCAAGAGUUCAUAUCGACGGCGGUGUUUGGCACCUCGAUGUCGGCUCAUCACAUCCUGGGGCUGAAGUAGGUCCCAAGGGUAUGGCUGUUCGCCAUUUAAAGUGGUACGCGAGCUGGGUUUAGAACGUCGUGAGACAGUUCGGUCCCUAUCUGCCGUGGGCGCUGGAGAACUGAGGGGGGCUGCUCCUAGUACGAGAGGACCGGAGUGGACGCAUCACUGGUGUUCGGGUUGUCAUGCCAAUGGCACUGCCCGGUAGCUAAAUGCGGAAGAGAUAAGUGCUGAAAGCAUCUAAGCACGAAACUUGCCCCGAGAUGAGUUCU
RNAcentral lists this ribosomal RNA (1576 nucleotides) under Salmonella enterica subsp. enterica serovar Senftenberg. RNAcentral's name for it is "bacterial LSU rRNA". It matches the Rfam family "Bacterial large subunit ribosomal RNA", at positions 1253 to 2812 of the family's 2925-position model. Lineage: Bacteria; Pseudomonadati; Pseudomonadota; Gammaproteobacteria; Enterobacterales; Enterobacteriaceae. The record is from RNAcentral. RNAcentral also lists the same sequence under 8 other names.